CGCCCGUCUCCAUCUUCUCUUCGAGCGUCCGCUUCCCCAAUUCUUCUCUUGUUUUACUUUUAUUUUAUUUUGGUCUCCUUGGAUGCUUGACUGCCCUCUGAAGCCGCCCCAUCUUCGUUGGUCUUCUUCCACCGAAGCUUUUAUUUUUCCCCUGCUUUCCUCUCUCUGCCACUUGCCAAUUCCCCACCAUCUUUGGUCAACAUCGACACUCACCGAAUCAUUUGUUGACCGCUCCUCCUCCACGCGGCCUCUCCACGAAGCCAACAAUCCAACAGAGUCCACCGAAGCAUCCCUCUCUCUCUGCAGCUUUGGUCGACGUUUUUAAACACCCCACGUCCGAAGCCGUUUGUUGACCGCCUGUCCCCACGCGAAGCUGCCCUUCGUCCGCUUCUCACUCCAUCGAAAUCCAGCGUCCACCACUUGCUGUCCCCCGCUGGUCAACCUCCCCCACCGAAAGCCCAACUGUUGACCGCCCUCAGCUCCACGCGGCCAGCGCACGCCAGCGAAACCCACCGAAGCUGCCCGCGUCGCCUCUCGUCUUCAGCUCGCGUGAAGCCCAGCCCAUCAGCAGCCUCUGCACGUCCACGCCUCCACCUGCGUCGGUCAAUCAAAGGAGCUCUCCUCACCGGUUGAUGACCAUCGAAGACGCCGCAGCUCCUUCCUUGCAUCGACGCCAACAAAGCCAGCUCUUUGACCAGCCCAUCUCACAAUUUGUUCGGUCCUCUUCAGCCCAGCAACUUCUCCUUCGAUCGGCCCAAGUCCUCAGCAAGCUUCAGCCCAUCCAGCUCAGGUUUUGGCCCAGCAUCUCCAUCAAGCUCAGCCCAGUUCAGUUGCAUUUCAGUCCAACAAGCCCACGCCUUUUUUCAAGCCCGCUUCAACCAACUUCAGUCCACUUGAAGCUAGUCCAUUUUCAGCAGGCCCAAGCCCAAGUCUAAGCCAAGGAAUUUCUGUAGGCUUGCAAGGUUUCUUGGUCUGGCCCAAGUGUCCGUCAACACCGCCAAAAAUUCGGAAUUCGGCUGCCGUCACGGUGUUCCGGUCUUCGCUUUGCACAAGUCCUUAGAUGAUUGUGGUGAAGGACCGGAGGCUUGGAGUGUAGAAUGUGAAGCUUGAAGAAUUGACGAUCCUAUUGGACUGUGUAGUCCUAGUUUUAUGAACUUGUGAUUUAAAACCCGACUUAACAAUUCGCUUGAGAUGACUGUGUAGGCCGUGCUUGCCGAGUUGUAAUUCAGUAGUGACUUUGAGUAAAUGAGAUGAGCCGACUAAGAAAGAGUCGAGAUGACAUGUAAUUGACUAGGUCGGUUGCUCAAUGAUUUGAUCUGAUGUUAUGAAUUGAUUGAGUGAUGUGAUAUAAGGUAUUUGUAAAUAACGUUGAUUUGCAAGAUGAAACUGAGGUUAAGGUAAGUCCUCUGACUUGUGUUGUGUUUAGGCAGCUUCUUGAGUGUAUUGACUUCCUAAUCGGGUCUUAGGGGGUAGAAUUUGCCAAGAUGUAGUCUCAUUGUUAUAGAAUAACCAUUUUCAGGUCCUUAGAUGAUUGUGGUGAAGGACCGGAGGCUCGGAGUGUAGAAGGUGAAGCUUGAAGAAUUGACGAUCCUAUUGGACUAGUUAGUCAUAUGACACUUUUCUUUUGAUGGGAGUCGAUUCAUUUUUGCAGUCUUAGUUUUAUGAACUUGUGGCUUAAAACCCAACUUAACAAUUCGCUUUAUAUAUAUUUGCACUAUAGUUUGCAAUGUAUAUAAGGGUGGUUGCUUUUAAAGUGGAAAUUUAGAGUCUCACUUUCCUAUCUCA
Eucalyptus grandis is the source of this 1785-nucleotide long non-coding RNA. RefSeq lists it as uncharacterized. The record is from RefSeq and is a predicted model, not a curated record. The transcript is spliced from 2 exons. NCBI's taxonomy places the organism in Eukaryota, Viridiplantae, Streptophyta, Magnoliopsida, Myrtales, Myrtaceae.